This 1162-nucleotide ribosomal RNA is filed under the name Escherichia coli. Its description in RNAcentral is "partial 23S ribosomal RNA". It matches the Rfam family "Bacterial large subunit ribosomal RNA", at positions 504 to 1667 of the family's 2925-position model. The record is from RNAcentral. Lineage: Bacteria; Pseudomonadati; Pseudomonadota; Gammaproteobacteria; Enterobacterales; Enterobacteriaceae.
UGAGGGAAAGGCGAAAAGAACCCCGGCGAGGGGAGUGAAAAAGAACCUGAAACCGUGUACGUACAAGCAGUGGGAGCACAGAGCAAUCUGUGUGACUGCGUACCUUUUGUAUAAUGGGUCAGCGACUUAUAUUCUGUAGCAAGGUUAACCGAAUAGGGGAGCCGAAGGGAAACCGAGUCUUAACUGGGCGUUAAGUUGCAGGGUAUAGACCCGAAACCCGGUGAUCUAGCCAUGGGCAGGUUGAAGGUUGGGUAACACUAACUGGAGGACCGAACCGACUAAUGUUGAAAAAUUAGCGGAUGACUUGUGGCUGGGGGUGAAAGGCCAAUCAAACCGGGAGAUAGCUGGUUCUCCCCGAAAGCUAUUUAGGUAGCGCCUCGUGAAUUCAUCUCCGGGGGUAGAGCACUGUUUCGGCAAGGGGGUCAUCCCGACUUACCAACCCGAUGCAAACUGCGAAUACCGGAGAAUGUUAUCACGGGAGACACACGGCGGGUGCUAACGUCCGUCGUGAAGAGGGAAACAACCCAGACCGCCAGCUAAGGUCCCAAAGUCAUGGUUAAGUGGGAAACGAUGUGGGAAGGCCCAGACAGCCAGGAUGUUGGCUUAGAAGCAGCCAUCAUUUAAAGAAAGCGUAAUAGCUCACUGGUCGAGUCGGCCUGCGCGGAAGAUGUAACGGGGCUAAACCAUGCACCGAAGCUGCGGCAGCGACACUGUGUGUUGUUGGGUAGGGGAGCGUUCUGUAAGCCUGUGAAGGUGUGCUGUGAGGCAUGCUGGAGGUAUCAGAAGUGCGAAUGCUGACAUAAGUAACGAUAAAGCGGGUGAAAAGCCCGCUCGCCGGAAGACCAAGGGUUCCUGUCCAACGUUAAUCGGGGCAGGGUGAGUCGACCCCUAAGGCGAGGCCGAAAGGCGUAGUCGAUGGGAAACAGGUUAAUAUUCCUGUACUUGGUGUUACUGCGAAGGGGGGACGGAGAAGGCUAUGUUGGCCGGGCGACGGUUGUCCCGGUUUAAGCGUGUAGGCUGGUUUUCCAGGCAAAUCCGGAAAAUCAAGGCUGAGGCGUGAUGACGAGGCACUACGGUGCUGAAGCAACAAAUGCCCUGCUUCCAGGAAAAGCCUCUAAGCAUCAGGUAACAUCAAAUCGUACCCCAAACCGACACAGGUGGU